This is an RNA transcript of Cryptomeria japonica (Japanese cedar), 1699 nucleotides long. It is a transcript of the gene named beta-glucosidase 34, with no coding region annotated. The transcript has 11 exons. The record is from RefSeq and is a predicted model, not a curated record. Lineage: Eukaryota; Viridiplantae; Streptophyta; Pinopsida; Cupressales; Cupressaceae.
AGUGCUGCCCAUGUGGAACAGAACCUGGAAUUUUAUGAAUCAAAAGUUGGAGGCCUCUCACAUCUGAUGUCUUCAAGGUGUGGAUAGACUGUGAGGUGUAUUUACAUGGGGCCAACCCCCAGCUAUUUCAGAAGACAAUCCUGCAAUGUUAGCCUCAUCUCUGUGUGUGCAACAAUGGAACUUCAAGCGAAAGUGAUGAUCUUACUGACACUGUUAAGCUCAAUGACUGUGGUAGAGGGUGGCUUCAACAGGAAGAGCUUUCCCCAGGGAUUCACAUUCGGCACUAGUUCAUCUGCCUACCAAUAUGAAGGCGCGGUGGCCAAGGAUGGGCGUAUGCCAAGCAUUUGUGACACUUACUAUGAUAUACCUUCAAAUACCUUGGAUGGAAGCAAUGCUAACAUUACUGUCAAUCAAUAUUACUUAUAUCCUGAAGAUAUCCAAAUGAUGGCAAAACUAGGAUUUGUUGCUUACCGCUUCUCAAUUUCCUGGUCCAGAUUGAUUCCAGAGGGGAGAGGAGCUGUGAGUGCCAUAGCAGUGGAGCACUACAACAAUCUAAUUAAUAGCCUUUUGGAAGCUGGUAUUGAACCAUAUGUGACUCUCAACCACUUUGACAUUCCACAAACAUUGCAGACUGAAUAUGGUGGCUGGUUAGACCAUCGCAUUGUAGAUGAUUUUGCAAACUAUGCAGAGGUUUGCUUCAAGUUAUUCGGGGAAAGAGUGAAGCAUUGGAUCACAAUAAAUGAGCCUAAUCUACAGGCAAGUAUAGGUUACGGUCAGCCUUACAUUGCUGCCCAUUACCAGCUUCUUUCACAUGCCGCUGCUGUAGCAAAGCUCAGGAAAAAUGAGGCCACAAAAAAUAGUUCUGUUGGAUUUCCAAUCAACCAAUUCUGGUACGAACCGUUCACAAAUAGCAGUGAAGAUCACGAGGCACAAUCAAGAGCUCUUGAAUUCACUGUAGGAUGGAUUUUUGAUCCAAUUUUUUUUGGGGACUAUCCCUCUUCUAUGAGGAGGAUAGUGGGCGAACGUUUACCCAAAUUUACAGAGGAAGAAGUUGAGAUGCUUAAGGGUUCAAUAGACUUUAUAGGCCUGAACCAUUAUAGCUCUGUCUAUGUUGCUGCCAAAAAUUCUUCCUCAAACAUCAGAGAUUACUAUGCUGACAUGCUUGUUGAAUUAAAAGACUGCAUUCGACACAGCUGCCAUGACCCUUUACAUUGUUCCCAAUGGCAUCAAGCUCUUGGUGGAGUAUGUGAAGAAUCGAUAUAAUAAUCCUGAAGUUCUCAUCCUAGAAAACGGUAAAUUCAACUUUAAUCUGGAUCAGAUCUUCUCUUGAAUCUAAGCUUUGUAGAUUUUGAUUAACUGGUGGAAACGAGACGACUGGAAUGGCAACUGAGAACAGUAAAACGAUGAAAGAAGAGUUGAACGAUACAGUGAGAGUAGACUUCUACCAUGACUAUCUCACAAAUUUGCUGGAGGCAAUAGAGGAUGGAGCAAAUGUGAAAGGGUAUUUUGCAUGGAGUCUUUUGGACAACUUCGAACUUGGUUUUGGCUUUACUCUUCGAUUUGGUUUAGUAUACGUGGACUUUGAACACACUUGUCUUCCACGUUACUCCAAGUUGUAUUCAUUGUGGUUCCACCAAUUCCUCACAUCAAACACCAUCUCUUUGCAAGAUAAAUCAUUUCAACAAGCUUAUAUUUGAUA